UGGGGAAUAUUGGACAAUGGGGGAAACCCUGAUCCAGCGACGCCGCGUGUGUGAAGAAGGCCUGCGGGUUGUAAAGCACUUUUAGUGGGGACAAAAAGCUACGGACUAAUACUCUGUGGUCUUGAUUUAACCCAAAGAAAAAGCACCGGCUAACUCUGUGCCAGCAGCCGCGGUAAUACAGAGGGUGCGAGCGUUAAUCGGAAUUACUGGGCGUAAAGCGUGCGUAGACGGUUAUGUAAGUCAGGUGUGAAAGCCCCGGGCUCAACCUGGGAAUGCCAUUUGAGACUGCAUAGCUAGGGUGCGGAAGAGGGAAGCGGAAUUUCAGGUGUAGCGGUGAAAUGCGUAGAUAUCUGAAGGAACACCAGUGGCGAAAGCGGCUUCCUGGUCCAGCACCGACGUUCAGGCACGAAAGCGUGGGGAGCAAACAGGAUUAGAUACCCGGGUAGUCC
Molecule: ribosomal RNA, 449 nt
Filed under: uncultured bacterium
Lineage: Bacteria
Description: bacterial SSU rRNA
Rfam family: Bacterial small subunit ribosomal RNA
Source: RNAcentral